GACGAACGCUGGCGGCGUGCUUAACACAUGCAAGUCGAACGGUGAAGCGCCUUCCUUUUUGGUGGGUGUGGAUGAGUGGCGAACGGGUGAGUAACACGUGAGUAACCUGCCCCCUUCUUCUGGAUAACCGCAUGAAAGUGUGGCUAAUACGGGAUAUUCUGGGUCUGUCGCAUGAUGGGUCUGGGAAAGAUAUUGUUUCGGUGGGGGAUGGGCUCGCGGCCUAUCAGCUUGUUGGUGGGGUGAUGGCCUACCAAGGCGGUGACGGGUAGCCGGCCUGAGAGGGUGGACGGUCAACUGGGGACGAGAACCCGGCCCGACUCCCAAGGGGGGGCGGCGUUGGGAAAAAUGGACAAUGGGGGCAAGGCUUAUGGCGCGGCGCCGGGUGGGGGAUGGAGGGCUUCGGGUUGGGAACCUCUUUCGCCAGGGAAGGCGGCCUGCCUCGUUUGUUGGUGGGUUGACGGUAGCUUGAGAAGUAGCGCCGGCUAACUACGUG
Molecule: ribosomal RNA, 493 nt
Filed under: uncultured bacterium
Lineage: Bacteria
Description: partial 16S ribosomal RNA
Rfam family: Bacterial small subunit ribosomal RNA
Source: RNAcentral